UUUUCGGAGAGUUUGAUCCUGGCUCAGGACGAACGCUGGCGGCGUGCCUAAUACAUGCAAGUCGAGCGAACAGAAGGGAGCUUGCUCCCGGAUGUUAGCGGCGGACGGGUGAGUAACACGUGGGUAACCCGCCUGUAAGACUGGGAUAACUCCGGGAAACCGGAGCUAAUACCGGAUAGUUCCUUGAACCGCAUGGUUCAAGGAUGAAAGACGGUUUCGGCUGUCACUUACAGAUGGACCCGCGGCGCAUUAGCUAGUUGGUGGGGUAAUGGCUCACCAAGGCGACGAUGCGUAGCCGACCUGAGAGGGUGAUCGGCCACACUGGGACUGAGACACGGCCCAGACUCCUACGGGAGGCAGCAGUAGGGAAUCUUCCGCAAUGGACGAAAGUCUGACGGAGCAACGCCGC
This 409-nucleotide ribosomal RNA is filed under the name Bacillus pumilus. RNAcentral's name for it is "bacterial SSU rRNA". It matches the Rfam family "Bacterial small subunit ribosomal RNA", at positions 1 to 400 of the family's 1533-position model. Lineage: Bacteria; Bacillati; Bacillota; Bacilli; Caryophanales; Bacillaceae. The record is from RNAcentral.